AAUAUUGCACAAUGGGGGAAACCCUGAUGCAGCGGCUCCGCGUGAGUGAGGAAGUAUUUCGGUAUGUAAAGCCCUAUCAGCAGGGAAGAAAAUGACGGUACCUGACUAAGAAGCCCCGGCUAACUACGUGCGAGCAGCCGCGGUAAUACGUAGGUGUCAAGCGUUAUCCGGAUUUACUGGGUGUAAAGGGAGCGUAGGUGGAAAAUCAAGUCAGAUGUGAAAGCCCGGGGCUAAACUCCGGGAUUGCAUUUGAAACUGGUAUGCUAGAGUGAAGGAGAGGUAAGUGGAAUUCCUAGUGUAGCGGUGAAAUGCGUAGAUAUUAGGAGGAACACCAGUGGCGAAGGCGGCUUACUGGACUGUAACUGACACUGAGGCUCGAAAGCGUGGGGAGCAAAC
This 396-nucleotide ribosomal RNA is filed under the name uncultured bacterium. Its description in RNAcentral is "partial 16S ribosomal RNA". It matches the Rfam family "Bacterial small subunit ribosomal RNA", at positions 360 to 773 of the family's 1533-position model. The record is from RNAcentral.